UGUCCUACGGGACGCAGCAGUGGGGGAUAUUGCACAAUGGGGGGAACCCUGAUGCAGCGACGCCGCGUGGGUGAAGGAGCGUUUCGGCGCGUAAAGCCCUAUCGGCAGGGAAGAAGGAGGACGGUACCUGACUAAGAAGCCCCGGCUAACUACGUGCCAGCAGCCGCGGUAAUACGUAGGGAGCGAGCGUUGUCCGGAAUUACUGGGUGUAAAGGGAGCGUAGGCGGGGAUGCAAGUUUGGUGUCCAAACUACCGGCUCAACUGGGAG
Molecule: ribosomal RNA, 268 nt
Filed under: uncultured bacterium
Lineage: Bacteria
Description: partial 16S ribosomal RNA
Rfam family: Bacterial small subunit ribosomal RNA
Source: RNAcentral